This 40804-nucleotide long non-coding RNA is filed under the name Lathyrus oleraceus (garden pea). RNAcentral describes it as "Pisum sativum (pea) long non-coding RNA (PSAT_LNC032165)". The record is from RNAcentral. Lineage: Eukaryota; Viridiplantae; Streptophyta; Magnoliopsida; Fabales; Fabaceae.
AAUUCCUUGAUAUUAUUUUCAGUGAUGCUCAAGAGAGAAAAGAGUUUAUUUUUUUCUGUCGGAUCAUUAAAGGAUCCCACAAAAUUCAGAUGAAACAAAUUGUCUCCCAAAACAGUCAUUUCCUAAAUAUUUCAAAAACAACUAGUCACCCAAAUUAUUACAGAACAUGCUACAUUAAAGGACUCUCACAUAUUGCUGAUUUUCUUCAUGUAACGUUUGUGCACCUGUUCCAUCCAACAAAAUAAUAUGUUAUUUCACCUAAUAUUAAAAUAGUGUCACAAAAUAAGAUACAACUAUGCUGAUGGUAAUUCUGUUAGCAACAAUAUAUUGCCAGUAUGCUUUGCAAUCACAAUUUAGGAGGUAAUGUGAUUUUGCAUAUUGUUUAGUAUUAAUAGGGAAAGUUGUAUACAAGUAAUGAGAUUCCAGGUUUUCUUUUUGUCAAUUUAGUGGAAGGAGGAGAUUCCUUGUUAGGGGUGAAACCCUCUUUGGUUAGUUUUGUAGUAAAAUCUGUCCUAUAUCUAGAUUCUAUCAGUAAUCAUUAAUAAACUUUGUAGCAUUGAUGCUUCUGAUUAAAGGUGUGUCCACUAUCCGACAGAUGUUGGUAUUAUACACCGACACGACACUGACACAUGUUACCUUCAGUCACUUCUAUUUUUUCAAACUAUUACUAUCGUCUGUGUGUAUGGGUAUGUGUCUAUGUCAAUGCUACAGAUGAUAAAUCAAGAAUUUUUUGGUUGAGCUCUAGAGUCCAAUGAUUUGGUUGGACCCACGGAAUGCCUUUGAGUUUGACAAGGAUGGACUCAAGCAGAAAGACUGGCGAAACAUGGAAGACAUGAAUGCCAAGAUGCAAAGUUUGAAUUAUACCACGAGGAUCAAAUGUGAGAUUUUGGAGAAAUGAGCGAGAAACUUGACAGUGUGGAUGGCAUUCUUCAAUUUUUGAAGGAUUUAGCUUAGCGAAAUGAGGCUAGCUUGCACAAAGUUCUAACAAUGUUUGAAAUAAUUAAACGCAUGAUCAAAGGAAUUUUGAUGAUCAAAGGCAUUUUGAUCUUGAUUAAGUGAACCUUAAAGAUGAUAUUCCAAAUGAGUAUAAGAAGGCUUUUUAGAAAGAUUAAUUGCCUAAAUUUGAUUUAAAUGGUUCUGAUGGGUGGCUAGCUAAGGCUGCAAAAGAUAUUUGAGAUCCAAAUUAUCAAAGGGGUAAAGGUUUAAUUGGCCUUCAUAUGUAUGGAAGGCAGUGUUAUCUAUGGCGGAUCGCGGACAUCCGAAAACCCACCAGAAUGUCUUGGUGCUAUCAUCUUUCACAAAUUGCCCAUGGCUGUUGUCUUAAAAUCUGCCACCAUAAUCCACUAUGGCUGAUGGAAGUAACUGCUAUUCAUAGAGGUAGGUAUUAAAAGAGAGACGGAAAAAUUGAAAAAAGAAACAAAAACCAUACAGAAACUACAAGAUUAAGAACCAAUGAGUUCAAGAGAAGUAUGGAAUAGUACUUGGUAAGAAGAAGCGAAAUGGAGGCACUAUAGUUGUCGAGUUUGUAUAAUCUUUGAUCACAUGAGAAGAAAACCAAUGGAGGCACUAUAGUAGUCGAGUUUGCAUAAUCUUUGAUCACAUGAGAAGAAAACCAAUGGAGGCUCGAAUAACAAUGAGAUCAAAUAGAAGACAGUGUAAUUAGAACUAGAAGGGUAAACCAAUAGACGGCAUGGUAUGAUUAGACGAAUUUUUUCAAAACAAAAUGGUUUGGUUUUUGAUUGACCCCAACACACUCAAUUCACUCAUGCAGCUAAUCCUGCCAAAUAAAACAAAACAUGGCUGUAAUUUCUGUAUUGCUUCUGCACCACUAACAGAAUUAUCACAGGGAAGCCCUAUGGUCGUUGCAUUCUUUGAAAACAAUAAAUACUAAACAUUCUUUAUUGAUAAAAUGCAUCCCAGUACAUAAUUGGCCCCUCUUCAACUGAAAAUUUUCUUAGUAAUUUUUUUUUAAGGCUUAGUAUUCGGCCUUGCGACUGACUAAUCCAAGGGAAUCAAUCCCACCGUCCACUUGUGGAACCCCAUUUAAAGCCAAAGCAAAGUUUUGUAUGAACUAACCCAAGACAAGAAUUAUUUGCACCUAGCAGGAUUCGAACCUGAGACCUUGAGAGGAGUACACUAUCAGUACCCAAGCCUUCACCAACAGGCCAACCCCAGAGGUUUUCUCCAUACAGAAUUACCUGCUGCUCUGAGCUAAUAUGUUUCAAAAUGCUUUUAAUUACUUCCAUAAGUCAAGAAUUCCCAACAUUUUCUCUCAAAUAAAUAUACAAAACCUGUUAACAUAUCUUCAACCCUAUACCAUACAAGUAAAAUCCCACAUUUCUGCCAAAUGAAUGAUAAAAACAGUAAAGACAUAAAGAGAAAGAAAGCACUGAAAACAUAAAGUUAUAGAACUAGAAACCCUCAAAUUCUCCCCUAAAUACAACAUGCAACCAAAUUUAAGGCUUCAAAUACAUCAAAUUAAAUGCAUCAAUACUAAUCUCAAAAUGAUAUUCUUCACCGUCGUAUAAACUACACAAAAGACCAGAAAACUCAUACUAAAGAACUCGUAAGAGUCAGAAACAAAGCAGCAGCAAUAGUGAUGAAAUCUACAUCAACCUGAAAUUCUAGAAUUGUACAACACCAAUCUCCUAUAUCAACAACAUUUCAAAACAAUCCUAAUAUCACUAUUAACCUGAAACGAUCUUACGAUUUCAGUACCAAAUUCGAUAUUUCUUCAUUUCACAAACUAGAUCGGUGAUUCAAUUUAACAGUGAAAUCGUAGAAUCAAACAGAAUGCAUUAUUGAAGAAAUGGUUUACCUAAUUGCCAGUGGCGGAGGCGUGUUUGUCGGCGUAAUUAGGAGGAGAGUAGACGAGCGCAGCCACCAUGGCUCCCGGUAACACGCCGUAUCUCGCCAACGCUGCAACUUUGGUGACCACUGCUUUUCCCUUCAUGAACGCCAUAGCCGAAACUUCACGGAAUCAGAUAGAUCGGGUUUUCUGUUUUGAUAGAUGAAAAUCGGAUUAUGAAGAAGACGAGAAUUUUUAUUUUUAUAUUUUUUUUUGGUAGAAAAAAAGUGAGAUUUUGAAUAGAAUAUUGAUUAAGAUUUUAUUGGGCUUAAACUUUAGAAAAGUAAGAGAAAUUAAUUUGAACCCAAUGUACUUAUAUUUCCACCCCAAAUUCAAAUUGAUCGUUUUAAUUAACUUGAAGUGAAAGUUUUUAAAUUUUGGAUUUAAUGGGGAUGCAUUUAUAUUGUAAAAAAAUUUAUACUAUUGUCCAAUAAAAAUAUAUUAUUUUAUUAUAUUAUAUAAAUAAUUUAAAAUUUUUAAUCAGAUUUAACGAAAUACAUUAUUGUCAUUGGUUGACUGUGUAAAAUUAAUUUAUAAUAGUCGUGCAUCAUCAAUUUUCUCUUAAAUUUUUACUAAUUAAUACAAAAAAAAUUAUUAAAAAUAGCAGUAAAUAAAUUUCUACAAUAAAGAAGUUGCUUCCAAUAUAUUUAUAGGGUAGUGAGAGACAAGAUAUUUGUGUUUUAAAUGUACAUGUAAAAUAAUUUAUAGUUAAGAAGAUAUUAUAAAUAUUUACAAAAAAAAGAUUUUUUGUAAAAAUAUUAUUGGGUGUAGAUUAAUCGUGGUGGAUGAAUGAAGCGUGUUAAUAUUGGGUUUGAUGUUAAUAAUACAUCCUAAGCAAUGAAGCGCUUAAAGAGUGUGGUGAAUAGUUUGACUGGGUGAAUGAUAUAGUUAGUGAUGAAUUUAGAAAAGUUUGUUAGUUAGUUACUUUGAUGUUUAAGAGUUUAUUAAUUAAUCCAGAAAUCAUUUAACUAUAUAUAGUUUAAUGUUGUCUUCCAUUCAAAUUAAUGCAUGAGUUCUAAACCAUUACUUAUGACUCAAACUUUAUUCUUUGAUUUUCUAUUUUUUGAUUUUGCUCUUUUGUUUCUUUGUUACUUGCAUUGCACGUAACAGCUUUGUUGCGUCAUUAGUUGACAUCUAGAGCCUGGUUGCUAAACAUCAAAGGAUUGGUGUUGAUUCAUAGGAAAACUUUAGUGAUUUUGUGAGGGAAACACUUGGGAAACAUUGAGGGAAGAGUGAAUUAAAAUGUUUCUUGCAAUAGAAGCAAGAUGAAUGCAAAUUGUGGUUUUUCAUCCAAUAUCCUGAUUCUUGAUGGAAGCAACUGGGUAAGGUGGAAUGUAUUAAUGAAAUCAUUAUUUGGAACACAAGAUGUGAUUGAAAUUAUGCAAGAUGGCUAUGAAGAAUUAGGUGAAGAUAUUAUUAAUGCACAAAGAACCACUUUCAAAGAAUUAAGAAAGAAGGAUUAUAAGACAUUAUUUUACACUCAAUAGAAUGUGGAUUCUUACUACAUUGAGAAGAACUUGAAAGCCACCAGAUCGAAGGAAGCAUGAGAUAUGUUAGAAAAUUACCAUAAGGGUGGAGAAAAGGUGAAACAACUGAAGCCAUAGCCACUAAGGGAAAAAAAAAAGCUUAUGCAAAUGGAAGAGAAUCAGAAAAUUAGUGAUUAUUUCUCAAAGUUUAUUACUUUGGUGAAUCAGAUGAAGACAUGUGGUGUAUAGUUCAUUAGAAGAACAUGAAUUUAUGGUGAUUGAUAGAGGCGCUGAAAGACAAGGCUAACGAGUGAUGAAAAAGAAUGGAAAUGAAAAGAACGUCAAAAAGAAAGGAACAUGGGGCUUCAAGAAUUCAAACUGGUUCAAUGUUGCUAGAUAAAAGUAUGAAGAAAAAGCUUAAUCCUUUAAGAGAGGAUGAGGAUCAAGAAAGAAUCAUACCAAAAAAAAGAUUUUUAUAAAAUCAAGAUGCAAUGAUGCAAUUGUGAAAAACAUGAUCACUUUGCAAAUGAUUGUUGGUAUCAAAAUGAAUGAGGAAAUAAAUGUAAAAAAAAAGAGAUGAAGAAGUCAAUAUAGCUCAUGAUGAUGGUUAUGAGUCUGAGAUAGUUUUACUUAUGGCUACCACAUGUGAAGGGAAUCCAAUGUGUGAGGAGUGGUACUUGGAUUCAAGAUACUCAAAUCACUUGACAAGAUGUAAGGAAUAGCUUACUAAUUUAGACUCAAGCAAGAAGAUUAAUGUAAAGCUUGCAAAUGACAAAUACCUUGGAGCAGCAAGUAUUGGUGAUAUAGUGAUCAAAAGUAAGAAUGGAAAGGGUGUUUUGGAUGAAACGCAAUAUGCAAAGCAUAGAAUAAUUGGUGGGAAAAGUCUUCUCAAUAACAAUGAUUGAAGAUGCACUUCAACAGUUUGUUAAAAGUUAAAAGUUGAUUUUGAGUUCUUAAUUGUCAAAAUAUAGAACUUUUAAAUGCAAUAUUCAAACUACAAAAGAAGUAUGUCUUACAAGCAUUAAGGAACCAUAAUGGCUCUGGCACACAAGGUGUGAACAUCUAAAUUCUAGAAGUUUACGUAAGUUAAAAUCUAAGAAUCUAGUGCUUGGUAUACCAAAAUUGAGUGAAAGAAUUAUGACUUGUGAAGUUUGUUUAAGGACUAAGAAAAAUAGAGAACCCCUUGGUGCAGAAAUUCCUAAGAGGUCAAUAUAUGCUUUUGAAAUUAUGCAUUAUAAUAUAUGUAGUCCUCUUAAAGUACAACCAUUAGGAGGUAGCAGAUACUUCAUCACCUUUGUGAUGAACACACAAGAAUAAUGUCUAACCUUGUGCAUGUGUAACCAGUGUCACAACACAGGGCCUCAUAUGUGUGGUGGGCCUCAAAAUAAAAAUAUAUUAUAGUAUGUGAUCCCUAUACUAUGAUUAGUAUUUGUGCAAUAUCACAUCAGUCUAAAUAAAACAAUGUGUGACUAUUAUUUUAAGACAAGCUCGUCAUUUUGAAAGAGUGUCAAUUCAUUAUUUGUUUUGGUUGUUUUAGUUUUAUAUUCACAAGUGUUAUUCAUCAUUUUAAAACUAUUCCAAUUAACCAUGACACUAUUUCUUCAACUGACAACAUUAUCAUGAAAGCAUCUAGUGUAUAUCCAAUUUACUUAAUUUUAUAAAUCAUUUUAAAGCAAAUAUCUUACACUAUUAUUUUAUACACUGCAUCAAUUCAUUUUAUUUUAUAGUGAUUUGGUAUUUUUUAAUGUAUUCUUUAAAUUUUAUUUUAUAAUAAUAUAUUAAAAAGUUUAGUAAACUUAAAAUUAUUUUAAUUAAAUCGUUAUGAUUAAAUAAAUAAUAAAUUAAAUUGUUAAAUUUAAAAAGUGUUUGAUUAAUUUGACUUAAUCUAGUCUAAUAUAUGAAAUGUAGUUCGAUUGGUUUAUAUAAUUGAGUUAAUAAUUUAACGGAGGUGAAUGUACAUAGUUAAAUUCAUAACACUAGUCUAAUGUAGUAAUUAUAUAAUCAUAAUUUUUUUAUCAAAUAGUAUAGUAGUUGAGAAUUUCACUUUUAAAUAUAAAUAAGUGAGAUGUCGCAGAUUUGAAUUCACGUCCAUGCAUUUUAUAUCUUUGUACAACUAUUCUAUUAUAUCAAUUACUAAUAAAAGUUUUAUGUAAUUUUUAAAGAGAAAUUUUAGUAUAUAUGUUAUACUUUAUUUUAUUAGCGGACUCUUAUAAAACUCAGAACAUGACCUCCAAUUUGUUUGGGUCAGCCCUGACAAGAAUGUUAUGGCUCUACACCAUUAAGUUCAAAAGUGAAGCAUUUUAAGUUUUCAAAAAAUUUAAAGUCUUGGUUGAGAAGGAGAGUGACAAAGAAAUUAAGGUAUUGAGGACAUAUGGAGGUGGAGAAUAUACUUCAAAUAAGUUUGAAGCAUAUUGACUUAGCAAAAUCAUAAUGCAUAAAGUGACCUCACCCUACACAGAAUGGUACAAUGGUAUUGCAGAAAGGAGAAACAUGACCAUUUUUGAUAUGGCAAGAAGCAUGUUAAAGCACAAAAACCCGACACAUGUGUUUUAGGGUGAGGCGGUCAAUACAAGAACUUAUAUUAAUAAAUUUCCCACCAAAAAGUUGAAGAUGAAGGUGCCAAAGAGAAGUUUGGUGUGCAAGAAAUCCAUCUAUAAAGCAUUUAAAAGUGUUUGGAUCAGUCUGCUUCAAACACAUCCAUGGUCAAAAAAGGACUAAGAUUCAAGACAAAAGUAUGAAAAUGAUAUCCAUAUGAUACCAUUCAAUAGGUCCCUACAAAUUGUAUAAUCUAUUAACAAAAAGUAGACAUCAAUAGAGAUGUGAUAUCUGAUUAAUCAGAUACUUGGAAAUGGCAGACUUAAUGCACAAGAGAAAGUGAGGACAUAAAAAUAUUUGUAGAACAUGAUUAUAAUGCCAAUUUUUAUGAUGAAAUAAAUUGUGAAGGCAUUGAAACUGAUGAAACUACACACGUGGAAUCUCAUACUCACAAGAGGCCACAAAGGAGAAGGCAAGUCCCUAUAAUACUUGUAUUGAUAAAAAAAGUACAAGGUGUGUGUGUUCCAUCUGCAGAUGUAUUAUAAUUUGGGUAGUGAGGGAUUACUCACGGCGUCGAGAAUCCAUGUAUGGUGGCUUUUUAGGCUGUUUAAGGGAUCAACUUGCGUGAGGUAAAAGGCCAUAUUAGUGGCCGAUGUUGCUGGGUUGCAAGUGGGGGUUAGGUUGAUGUUGUGUUAAGGUUACUAUGAACAUAGUUCUCUUUGAGUAGUGGUAAAUGUGUAUGACUUGAGAAUCCCUUAUCCUCUUAAGAGAUACAGUAUUUAUGUGAGUCCCUUCCGCGAAGGAUUUUUACCUCCUAGACGUAGUCUUAACUGUUCCCCACUUUCUAUGGGAGGUUAUCAGCCGCAUAUCUUCUCAGAGUCAGCAAGGAUUUUCUCUCAAUUGAUUCCCACAUAAGUGGGAUCUCUUGCGCGACUCCCUUGGAUUAUUUUCUAACUUCAUUCAUUGGAAUAUCAAUUCCAUCCUAUAGAAUAUCCCACAACUCAUCAUCAAGGUCUAUAAUAUGAGUAUACAUCUUUAAAUUCCACCAUUCGAAAUCUGUAAAGUCUCCACUGAAAGUUGAAGGUCUAGCUGUAUAUUUUUUCUUUUCUAUAUUGCUAUAAUCAUGAUUUAUAGUAGCACGUGGAAUAGUAAUACCACUUUAUGAUCUAUAAAUAAUAGACAUGUUUCAAUAUAUUUUUCUCAAGAUCUUUUAUGUACCGAUGUUAAGUUUUAAGCACAAACCGUACUCUGAUGCCAAUUGAAGGUGAGAAAAAUACAAGAAGGGGGAUUGAAUUGUGUUGGUUAUUUCUUUAUUUUUGAAAUUCUUAAGUCAUAUUCUAAACUCAAUGUUAUAGAAUUUGAGUUAGUUAGAGAUAGGCAGCAGAUAUAAAGUGCAAGAAAGAAUAAACAACACACGAAGUUAUCCUGAUUCCUCUCAUAAAUCGAGAGUAAUUCAGUCCCCUUGUACUUACAAGAUAUUUUCACUAUAAUGGCAUAAGAUUGCAAUUUUUUCAAGCACAAAAGCAAGAGACUUAUUUGCUUACACACACAAGUAUAAGACUUCCUUGCUUAAACACACAAGUCUAAGACUUCAUUAUUCAAACACACAAGUCUGAGACUUUAUUGCUCAAACACACGACUAUGAAACUUCCUUUCUCACACAUAAAAGUAUGAGACUUCAUUGCUCAAAUACACAAGUCUGAGACUUUCUUUCUCUCACACAAGUAUGAGACUUCAUUGCUCAAACACACAAGUCUGAGACUUCCUUUCUCACACAUACAAGUAUGAAACUUUAUUGCUCAAACACACAAGUUUGAGACUUCCUUGCUCUUUACUGAAGGCCAUCAUCCGACUAUCCUCCUUUUGAGAGUUCCCUUUGAAGGAUUGUUCGAUCGUCAAAUACCAAUCGUUACAUAAGCAUUGUACAAACUCUUUCCCCAUUGGUUGCCUUCUUUUCCAAUGGACAUGACUUCAAUUACUUUUCUCAGGGAUGUCUCAUAUUUCUAGGGACACUGCUUCCUCUUAAGUGAGUUUUUUAGGUUUCAGGGUUUCCCAUUCCCUCCCCUAUUUUUUCCUUCCUCCUUCCCAGGUGUACUUGGUCAAGCUUCCCUUAUUUAUCAACUCUUCAAUGGAGUCCUUCAACUGGAUAUCAUCAUUAGUGUUAUGAUCGUGACUUUUGUGGAAACAAAAGUAUUUCUAUUUUUUAUCCUAUUGGACUCUUUAAGCAAAUAUGGAAGCUUAAUGUUGGCCUCUUUAAAUUUGUACUGGCACACUCAUACCAAAUAUUUCCUUUGGAAGUGUUCAAAGGGGUAUAAGAGGAACCUCUCGAUCGAGACCCCUGCUCACAGUCAUCUCUUCAACGGUUAGUAUAUUUCUCAGUGUAUUUAUCAUACUCGUGGUUUUUACCUGAGACCCCAUGACCAUCUAGGAGCUUUCCCCCCCCCCCCCCCCCNNNCCCCAAAUUAUGUUUGACCGAGCCUAGUUCAGCAAUCCGUUCAUGUUGUUCGCCUAUUCUAGCCCCAAAUUCUCAUGAAACUUACCAUCCUAUCUCAAGCCCUUAUUAAAGAUCCAAGACUUUAAGUCGUAUUCUCCAUCUUCUAACACUACAUCCACUCUGGUGAACUUGACAAUGUAUUCCGGCAAGGUUUCUUUCUUGCCUUAUGUAAUUCCACUAAGUAUCGCCAUUAUGGUUGGUUGUUUCUUCUGGGCGGUAAAUUGAGAGGUGUACACAUCAGAAAGGUCACCCUACGAGUUUAUAAUCCCGUCCAAGAGAAACUUGUACCACUUCAUGUUAGUUUGUGUUAGGAUUAGUGCAAAGAGUUUUCACUUGACAAGUCCUUCAACGUGAUAAUAAUCUAAUUGAUUAUCAAAAUGCUCGAUAUGCACGUCAGGAUCCUUGUUCCCAUUGUAGUCAGUUGGAUUUAGAGGGUACUCGCAUGUUCUCAGUAUUCUACUGUCAAGAAUAUGAGAGGACAAAGGGUUUCUCAUUCGCUCGGCCAUUAGAGAAACUACUUAAGAUCUUUUCCUCUCUUAUGUAUCGGGAGCCAAGGAACGGGUUAGAUGAGGAGCUUUUGAUAAACGUGGUUUCCGCUUCUCUCUAACGAGUCGAGGGAGGAGUCUGGUGCUUGUCGCUCCUGCGAGGCCGAAGAGAAAGUGGAACUUAUUCAUGUACCAUAGAUGCCUUGGCCGAAGUUGGAUAUGGAACAACUACAAAAUGAUCCUGAGAAGUUGUCUUACGCACAGUGCUUCCCUGAGGAGGAUAAAGUUGUAUGUUUCCUCCAAUUUUAUAAUCCCCUCAGUCAAAAUUUGGGAAUUCUUUUGCUGCAUCAUAUUGUACAUGGUAUUCAUCAUAUUAGUUGUUCCUCGUAUGCCUAAGUUUGCUUGCAAUAUCUGGAGCCCGAUGAACAUCUUCGGUGUGCAACCAUCAAAGCUUGAGGUAGAGGUCGAUUAGAAAGUACGGCGAGACAAGGGACUAAUUAGGUUGAAAAUCCGGGAGAGGUGGAAAUAUUCCUUAAACAACUCUUUGAGGAAUUACAUUUAAGUCAGUUGGAUUUGAUGGUGAAAUUACCAACACUGGAUCAUUCAAUCUUAGAGAAAGAGGAAUAUGAGGAUUCUUUUGCUUGCUUCUGCCACUGCAGCGACGACAACCUAGGCAGAUCUAGUAGACUUGGAAUCAUCCAUAAUAAGAGUUGACGAAUUUUAGAUUUCUGGUGAAGAGAUCAAUAACUCAACGACCGAAGAUCUGAGAUCUGAAUCUUUGACGUAAGAAUGAAGGUUUCUUGCCGAAUUUCAUAGAAAUCAAAAGUCAAUUCCCAUAUACCACAUCUUUAUUCCGUGAGGGAACAAAAAAUGUGAGAUGGAUCAGUGAUUUGAUUUUCAAUGCAGUGAGUUGAGCUUUCUGAUACGAAGGAGAGAGGUGUGCCUGCAAGAUUAUCACUCUUUCAAGUCAGUGAGAGAAUGAGAAAUAAUAUUACCUGUAAAAUGACAUCUUUUUUCUUUAUAUAAUAAAUAGUGGCGGAGCCAGAUAAAAAAAAUUGGGAUGGCCACUAACGUAAAAUAAAGAUUAUAAAUAAAAUGUAAAUAGUAUUUUAAAUAAAACAUUAAAGUUAAAAUAAAUACAAAGUUAAUUACUAAAAAUUUAAAUUACAUGACUUAAAACUAAUUGGAGUUGAAAUUGAAAAUUAUUCUUCUCUUGAUCACUAAAAUCCAUAGGAUAAUAUUUUUCAACUAAAGAACAAAUAGUAUCAAUGCUAAAAGCUUUAUAUCCAUCCUUAGGAGAUAAAGAACAAGAAAGAGUUCACAAAUCCAUUGCCUGCUCACUGAAUCUGCUAUUCAACUCUUGUAACUGUUUGUCAAUGGUAGUGAAAAAGAUUUCAACUUUAAAGUAAUGCUGAAUUGUGACUUGAUUCUCUUCAAGACGGGAGCGUCCAAAUCUUAUUGUUGAAUGAACAUCAUUAAGAUCAGGAAUCUCAAUACCAUGCUUUUCACAAAAAGAUACCACUUUAGUAAACAAUAUAUCUCAACCAUUUUCUCUCAAACGUUGAAUAAGAUGUUUUGUUGAACGAACCAAGUUCAUAACAUUAACUACAUCUUGAUUUUUUUUGUAAGGCUUGACAAAGCAUAUCUGUUAUUCCCAUGAUUUCUUUCAUCAAGUGAAAAAUAAAUAUAAAAUCAAAUGCCUUCAAGUAUUGUAAAAACUAUCUGCAUCCCCACGUGUAGCAUAACUCCCUCUAUCUUUUGCAAUUUUUUAAAAAACUAAACAAGUUGCUUCAUACAUGUUUGUCAAGCUAGAAAUUGAAUCGUAAUGUGAUCCCCAACGAGUAUCUCCGGCUCGUUUCAAUGUACCAACUUGAUUUGCACCUUUACCAGUUACAAUCUCAUCAAUCUCUAACAAAUAAGCAAUUUCUUCAUCAAGCUAGAAAUUGAAUCGUAAUGUGAUCCCCAACGAGUAUCUCCGGCUCGUUUCAAUGUACCAACUUGAUUUGCACCUUUACCAGUUACAAUCUCAUCAAUCUCUAACAAAUAAGCAAUUUCUUCUAAUUGGGCAGUUUGUAACUCAUCAUGACGCUUUGUAGAAGAACAAACAACAUUCACAACAAAUAUCAGUUUCUCAAAAAAUUUAUGAACAAGUUUGACUUCUCUUGAUGAUGUAACUAAUGCAAGUUGCAAUCUAUGAGCAAAACAAUGAACAUAGUAUGCAUAAGGACAAUCCUUCAUAAAGAGGGCUUGUAAACCAUUCCAUUCUCCUCUCAUAUUGCUAGCACCAUCAUACCCUUGGCCACGAAUGUUAGAAAUAUUAAGGUUAUGUCAAGAAAGUAUAUCACAUAUUGCUUCCUUAAGAGUUAAAGACGUGGUGUCUUUAACAUGUGCCACAUCAAAAAAUCUCUCUUGUAUUAAACCAACUUUAUCAACAAAUCUUAAUACAAGAGCCAUUUGUGAUUUUUUGAUCUGAUAUGAUAUUAUAGGAAGAUAAAGAUGAAUAAUAGGAAAAUUGAUUCUUUUUUCAAAAGGAAAGCAUGUGAAAUUGAAAGAGAAGAGAGAGUAUGAAGAAAUUAUAAUCCCGAAUCCGAAUCUGAAACAGUUCUUGAGAAUCCAACAAUUGAAGAGCAUCAUGGUUUUGAAAUUCUUGGAACGCGGAUCCUGGAAAAGCGUCCUCCGAUUUGGCAAUAUCCACCCAAAUCAAGUGGAUGCAAUACGAAGAGCUUAUCUGAAAAUGCGGGGUCCAUAUCAAAUUCAUUUAGAAAACUAUCCUUUGUCCGAUAACGAGGAUCAUCCGAGCAGGUUUCAACAUACUUCGUUUAGCAUAUUUCCAUCAUGGUUAGAAAUUCACCAUCUGAAGAUGCUGCAUAUUGCUUAUCAUGUUUAACUUUUUCAAGCAAAAAACUAAAGUGGACGUCCCGGAUCACUUGUCUUUAUUUCUAUGCUUUUAGAAUUGGAAGAAAGUUAGGAAUGGAAAACAUUGUUCCUUUCUUAAACACAUAGGGAAGGAUCCUGCUCACCACACAACAAUGCAAUGAAAGUUUGUCAAGAUUGUUGAAUCAAGAUGGUCAUAUUAGAAAUGUUUAUUCAAGUGCAAGUUCAAGUCAAAGAAUGAAUAACCGGUUACGACUCAAGACUUCAAUUGACAACUGUUCGUUGGUUAACACUACAAGCUUGUGCUUUUAGGGGUCACGACGAAAGUAGCAAAUCAAGAAAUCAAGGUAACUUUCUUGAGUUAUUGAAAUUUUAGCAUCCUACAAUGAUGAAGUUGUAAAAGUUGUGUUGGACAAAUGCUCCACAAAAUUGCAAGUAUACUUCACAUCAAAAUUCAAAAAGAGCUCUUGCAAAUUCUUUCUAGUAGGGUGAAAAGAGUAUUCGUGAGGAAAUUGGUGAUUCCAAAUUUUGUAUCGUUGUUGAUGAAGCUCGUGAUGAGUCAAAAAAGGAACAAAUGGCUCUUGUAUUAAGAUUUGUUGAUAAAGUGUGGUUUAAUACAGAGAGAUUUUUUGAUGUGCACAUGUAAAGACACCACGUCUUUAAACUCUUAAGGAAGCCAAUAUCGUGAUAUACUUUCUUGACAUAAACCUUAAUAUUUCUAACAUUCGUGGCCAAGGGUAUGAUGGUGCUAGCAAUAUGAGAGGAGAAUGGAAUGGUUUACAAGCCCUCUUUAUGAAGGAUUGUCCUUAUGCAUACUAUGUUCAAUGUUUUGCUCAUAGAUUGCAACUUGCAUAGUUACAUCAUCAAGAGAAGUCAAACUGUUCUAAAUUUUUUGAGAAACUGAUAUUUGUUGUGAAUGUUGUUUGUUUCUUCUACAAAGCGUCAUGAAUGAGUUACAAACUGCCAAUUAGCAGAAAAUUGCUUAUUUGUUAGAGAUUGUGAGAUCUGUAACGCUGGUAAAGGUGCAAAUCAGUUGUUACAUGAAACGAGCCGGAGAUACUCGUUGGGGCUCACAUUACGAUUCAAUUUCUAGCUUGACAAACAUGUUAUGAAGCAACUUGUUUAGUUUUUUAAAAAAAAUUGGCAAAAGAUAGAGGGAGUUAUGCUACACGUCGGGGAUGCGUAUAGUUUUUUACAAUCUUGAAGGCAUUUGAUUUUAUAUUUAAUUUUUCACUUGAUGAAAGAAAUCAUGGGAAAACGAUAUGCUUUGUCAAGCCUUACAAAGAAAAAAAUCAGAUGUAAGUUAAUGUUAUGAACUUGGUUCGCUCAAACAAAACAUCUUAUUCAACGUCUUGAGAGAAAAUGCGGUUGAGGAUAUUUGUUUUACUAACCAGGCGGUAUCUUUUUUGUGAAAAGCAUGGUAUUGAGAUCCUGGAUCUAAUGAUGUUCAUUCACAAAGAUUUGGACGCUCCCGUCUUGAAGCGAAUCAAGUCCACAAUUCAGCAAUUACUUUUAAAGUUGAAAAUCUUUUUCACUACCACUUGACAAACAGUUACAAGAUUGAAUAGCAGAUUCAGUGGGCAGGCAAUGGAUUUGUUGAACUCUUUCUUGUUCUUUAUCUCCUAAGGAUGGAUAUAAAGCUAUUAGCAUUGAUUUACUAUUUGUUCUUUAGUUUGAAAAAAUAUUAUCCUAUGGAUUUUAGUGAUCAAGGAGUAUGAAUAAAUUUUCAAUUCAACUCCAACAUUUGCAUUUGUUGCUCGUCAAGCAUCAAACUUGAAUAAUUUAUCAACAUUCAAGCAACUAUGUUUCAUGUUUGUUGCAUCUGCGAGACAGGAUGAAAUUACUUCUUGAUUGAUAGAUACUCUUAAUCUUACUCAUGAACUCUUCCCGUUUCUCUACGGUCACAACUGGAGGUCUUUAUUCAGCAAUGAAAAUUAUUAGACUAAGUGAGAAACAAGAUGGAUGUGGGUUUCUUGGAGAUAGCAUGACAGUAUAAUAUGAAAAAAAAGGGAGAUUAGUGCAGAGCAUUUAGUUUCAGAGUCAAUUAUGACGAUAUUUCAUAGUCCACUCAGAACACGUAAACAUUACUUUAAAGGUAGUUUUAAGUCCAUGUAAUUUAAUUUUAGUAAUUAACUUUGUAUUUAUUGUUAACUUUAAUGUUUUAUUUAAAAUACUAUUUACAUUUAUUUAUAAUCUUUAUUUUACGAGUGGCCAGUCAUUUUUUUUAUCUGGCUCCGCACUAUUUAUUAUAUAAAGAAAAAAAGAUGUCAUUUACAGGUUAAUAUUAUUUCUCAUUCUCUCACUUGACUUGAAAGAGUGAUAAUCUUGCCAGGCACACCUCUCUCCUCGUAUCAAAAGCUCAACUCACUGCAUUUGAAAAUCAAUCACUGAUCCAUCUCAAUUUUUUGUUCCCUCAAACGGAAAUAAAGAUGUGGGUUAUAUGGGAAUUGACUUUGAUUCUAUGAAAUUCGGCAAGAACCAAUUCAUUCUUACGUCAAAGAUUGCAAUCUCAAUUCUUCGGUCGUUGAGUUAUUGAUCCUUCACAGCAAAAUCUAAAAUUUCGUAACAUCUUAUUAUGGAUGAUUUCCAGUCUACUAGAUCUGCCUAGGUUGUCGUCGCUGCAGUUGCAGAAGCAAGCAACAAGAAUCCUUCAUAUUCCUCUUUCCUAAGAUUGAAUGAUCCAGUGUUUGGUAAUUUCACCUUCAAAAUCCAACUGACUUAAAUGUAAUCUCAAAAGAGUGUUUAAGGAAUAUUUCCACCUCCUCACCGGAUUUUCAACUAAUUAGUCCCUUGUCUCGCCUGUACUUUCUAAUCGCCUCUACCUCAAGCUCUUGAUGAUUUGCACCCGAGAUGUUCAUCGGGCUCCAGAUAUCGCAAGACAAACUUAGGCAUACGAGGAACAACUAAUAUGAUGAAUACCAUGUACAAUAUGAUAGCAGCAAAGAAUUCCCAAAUUUUGACCUGAGGGAUUAUAAAUUGGAGAACAACAUACAACUUUAUCCUCCUCAGGGAAGCACUGUGCGUUAAGAAACAACUUCUCAGGGAUCAUUUUGUUAGUUGUUCCAUAUCCACUUCGGCCAAGGCAUCUAUGGUUACAGAAUAAGGUGUCCCACUUUUCUCUUCGGCCUCGCAGGAGCGACAAGCACCAGACUCCUCCUCUCGACUCGUUUAGAGGAAGCGGAAACCACGUUUAUCAAAGCUGCCUCAUCUAACCCGUUCCGUUGGCUCCCGAUACAUAAGAGAGAAAAAGAUCUUAAGUAGUUUCUCUAAUGGCCGAGUACAGAAUGAGAAACCCUUUGCCUCUCAUUCUUGACAGUAGAAAUACUGCGAACAAUGCGAGUACCCUCUAAAUCCACUGACUACAAUAGGGAACAAACGGAUCCGACGUGCAGAUCGAGCAUUUUGAUUAAUCAAUUAGAUAUUACGCACGCUUUGAAGGACUUGUCAAGUGGAAAACUCUUUGCACUAAUCCUAACACAAAUCAACACUAGUGAUGGUACAAUGUUUCUCUGGACGGGAUUUAUAAACUGCGUUAGGGGGUGACCUUUCUGAUGUGUACACCUCUCAAUUUACCGCCCAGAAGAAAACAACCAAACCAUACCUGGCGAUACUUAGCUGGAAUUACAUGAAGGCCAAGAAUAGAAACCUUGGCGCGAUACAUUGUCAAGUUCACCAGAGUGGAUGGUAGUGUUAGAAGAUGGAAGAAUACGACUUAAAGGUCUUGGUCUUUUAAUAAGGGCUUGUAGUAUUAUGGAUGGUAAAUGUUAUGGGAAUUUGCGGGCUAGAAUACGGCGAACAACAAGAACGGAUUGCUGAACUAGGCUCGGUCAAAACAUAAUUCGGGGGGGGGGGGGGGAACCUCCGUAGAUGGUUCAGCGUCGUGGGCUCAGGUAAAAACCACGAGUAUGAUAAAUACACUGAGAAAUAUACUAACGCGUUGAAGAGAUGACUGUGGAGCAGGGGGUCCUCGAUCGAGAGGGUUCCUCUUACAUGACCCCUUUGAACACUCAAAGGAAAUAUUUGGUAAUGAGUGUUGCGCAAGUACAAUCUUUAACGAGGCCAACAUUAAUGCUCCAUAUUUGCUUAAAGAGUCAAUAUAGGAUAAAAAAUAGAAUACUUUUUUUCCCAAGAAGUGCACGAUCAUAAACUAAUGAUGAUAUCCAGUGAAAGGACCUCAUUGAAGAGUUUGAUAAAGUAAGGGGAAGCUUGACGAAGACCCUGGGAAGAGAGGAGGAAAAAAUUAGGGAGGGAAUGGGGAAAACCUGAAACCUAAAAACUUCAACUUAAGAGGAAGCAGGUGUCCCUAGAAAUAUCGAGAACAUCCCUCGAAGAAAUAGUAUUGAAGUCAUGUCCAUUGGGAAAAGAAGGCAACCAAUGGAUAAAGUUUGGUACAAUGCUUAUGUACGAUUUGGUAUUCGACGAUCGAACAAUCCUUCAAAGGGAACUCUCAAAAGGAGGACUAGUCGGAUGUGGCCUUCAGUAAGACGCAGCGACACGCUCACAACCAUUGGUGUGUUUGGCAACUCAUCACAGGUUUCAUACUUCGAGUGUGGAGGAAAGGAGUCUCAGCUUGAUGUGGUUUGAGGCAAAUGAAGUCUCAUACUCUGUGGACGAGAAAGAAAGUCUCAGACUUGGUAUUUGAGCAAUGGAAGUCCUCAUUACUUUUAUGUGUGAGAAAGGAAGUUUCAUAGUCGUGGUCGUUGAGCAAAAAGUCUCACUGCUGUGUUUGAAUAAUGGAAGUUUGACUCGUGUUUAAAAGCAAGGAGCUCUUAUACGUUGUGUUGUGAAGCCAAAUAAGGUCUCUUGACUUUCAUGUGCUUGAAAAAAUUUGCAAAUCUUAUGCCAUUAUAAGUCGGAAAGUAUCGUUGUAAGUAACAAGGGGACUGAAUAUUAGCGAACUCGCUCGAUUUAUGAGAGGAAGUCAGGAUAACUUCGUGGGUUGUUCUAUCUUGUCUUGCACUUUAUAUCUGCUGCCUAUCUCUAAACUAACUGCAAUUCGUAUAGACAUUGAGUUUAGAAUAUGACUUAAGAAUUUAAAAAUAAAGAAAUAACCUAACACAUUCAAUCCCCCUUCCUUGUAUUUUUCUCACUUCAUUGGGCUCAGAGGUACGGGUUUGUGCUAUCUAACAUCGUCACGCGUACAUAAAGAUCUUGAGAAAAUUAUUGAAACAUGUCUAUUAUUAUAACAAUCAUAUAAGUGGGUAUUUACUAUUCACACGUGGCUAUCUAUAAAUCUGAUUAUGAAUAUAGAAAAGAAAAAUAAUACAGCUAGACUUCAACUCAGUGAGACUUUACAAGAUUUCGAAUGGUGGAAUUUAAAGAUGUAUAACUCAUAUUAUAGACCUUGAUGAUGAGUUGUGGAUUUCUAUAGAGGUAUUGAUAUUUCCAAUGAAUGAAGUUAGAAAAAAAUUCAAGGGAGUCGCGCAAGAGAUCCCACUUAUGUGGGAUCAAUGAUGAGAGAAAAUCCCUUGGCUCGACUCUGAGAAGAUAUCGCGGCUGAGUAACCUCCCAUAGAAAGUGGGGAACAGUUAGACACGUCAUAGGAGGUAAAAUCCUCUGCGGAAGGGAUCUCACAUAAAUACUGUAUCUCUUAAGAGGAUAAGGGAUUCUCCAGUAUACACAUUUACACACUCAAGAGGAACUAUGUUCAUAGUAACCAACACCAACGACUCAACCUAACCCCCACUUCAACCCAGCAACAGUCGGCCCACUAAUAAUGGCCUUUUACCGUCACGCAAGUUGAUCCUUAAACAGCCUAAAAAGCCACCCAUCCAUGGAUCUCGACGCCGUGAGUAAUCCCUCACUACCCAUGAUUAAUACAUGCUCUGCAGAUGGAACACACACAACCUUGUACUUUUUUUAUCAAUACAAGUAUUAUGGGACUUGCUCUCCUGUUGUUGGCCUCGUUGUGAGUAUGCAGUUCCACGUGUGUAGUUUCACAGUUUCAAUUGCCUUCGACAAUUUAUUUCAUUCAUAAAGAAUUGGCAUUAUAAUCACUUUCUAAAACUAUUACUUUUAUGUCCUCACUUUCUCUUGUGCAUGUAAGUCUGCCAUUUCCAAGUAUCUGAUUAAUCAGAUAUCACAUCUCUAUUGAGUCUACUUUUUUUGUAAUAGAAUUAUCAAUUUGUAGGGACUAUUAUGGUAUCAUAUGAUAAUCAUUUUUCCAUACUUUGUCCAUUGAUCUUGAGUCUUUUUUUGACAUCAUAGGAGUGUUUUGAAGCAGACUGAUCCAAAACACUUUUAAAAAUGCUUUAUAGAUGAUUUCUUGCCACACUCAAACUACUCUUUUGGCACCUUCAUCUUCAAACUUUUUGGGUGGAAAUUUAUUAAUAUAAGUUCUUGAUUGUAACCGCCUCACCCUAACAACAAUGGUGUCGGGUUUUUGUGCUUUAAAACGCUGUCUUGCCCCAUAUCAAAAAUGGUCAUGUUUCUCCUUUCUGCAAUACCAUUGUUACCAUCUCAUCUGUGGUAGGGUUGAGGUUCAUUUAUGCAUUAUAUUUGCUAAUGCAAUAUCUUCAAACUUAUUUGAAGUAUAUUCUCCACCCCAUAUGUCCUCACAAUACACUUACAAUUUCCUUUGGUCACUCUCCUUCUCACCAGACUUUAAUUUUUUGAAACCUUAAAAUGCUUCACUUUUUUUUGAACUUAAUGGUUCUGUAGAGCCAUAACAUUCCUUGUCAGGUGCUGACCCAAACAAAUGGAGGUCAUGUCUGGUUUAUAUAGAGUCCGCUAAUAAAAUAAAGUCAUACACCCACUCAAUCUACUUAAAAUUUUUCUUUAAAAAUUACAAAUAACUUUUAUUAGUUAAUUGGUAUAAUAGAAUAGGUUGUAACAAGAUAUAAUGCGACUGGACGUGAAUUCAAUCUGCGACAUUCACUUAUUUAUAUUUAAAGUUGAAGUUCUCAACUACCAUACUAUUGAUAAAAAAUUUAUGAUAACUUAAUUACUACAUUAGACUAGUGUUAUGAAUAACCAUNNNNNNNNNNNNNNNNNNNNNNNNNUGAUAGAUCAUUUUCCACAUGAAGCCGGUUAUAGUCACCUUAUUAUCAGUGGCGGAAACUGAGGGGGGACGGGGAAGGCCACGACCACCCCUUCAACUUUUUAUUAUUUUUAAUUCAUAAUAUUUAAAUUACUAAAACAUCCUUAUUUUUAAUUAAAUUAAUUUUUAUUUUAUUUUUCAUUCAAAGUAGGUUAAAAUACAGAUAAGGUAAAAAACUCCUACCCUUUCCUUCUUUCUUAUAUGGGUUGCUAUCGGCACGAAUCGGGACAGAUUAAAGUGAUCGGGCAAUCUAACAGGUAAAAAACUUUAUUCUUCUCUUCUAUAAAAAAGUAACAAAUUAAAGUGAUGGUUUGAUUUGUGUUUUGAGCAUUUUAGGGUUCUUCUCUUCUUGAUGUGUUAAAAUAAUCUAUAUGAAUUUAUUAAGUCAAUUACAUAACACCUGUAAUUUACAAAUAUAGUUAUACACAUAAUAAUGUUUAUUUAAUCAUUGUGCUGCUAAUUUCUAAUAAUGAAGUGUACGGUAUUUGAAAACGGAUUAAAGUUGAUUAAUUAAAUUAUUAAUUUUUUUCUCUGUUUAAUUUUUAUGUUCUCUAAAUUGAUUUUUGAUCUGAUAUGAUAUUAUAGGAAGAGUAAAGAUGAAUAAUAGGAAAAUUGAUUCUUUUUUCAAAAGGAAAGCAUGUGAAAUUGAAAGAGAAGAGAGAGAUGGAAGAAAUUAUAAUCCCGAAUCCGAAUCUGAAACAGUUCUUGAGAAUCCAACAAUUGAAGAGCAUCAUGGUUUUGAAAAUUCUUGGGAACGCGGAUCCUGGAAAAGCGUCCUCCGAUUUGGCAAUAUCCACCCAAAUCAAUGGAUGCAAUACGAAGAGCUUAUCUUAAAAUGGCGGGUCCAUAUCAAAUUCAUUAGAAAACUAUCCUUUGUCCGAUAACGAAGGAUCAUCCGAGGAGGUUUCAACCUACUUCGUUUAGCAUUAUUUCCAUCAUGGUUAGGAUAUUCACCAUCUGAAGAUGCUGCAUAUUGCUUAUCAUGUUUACAUUUUUAGCAAAAAAAACUAAAGUGGACGUCCCGAUCACUUGUCUUAUUUUCUAUGGUUUUUAGAAUUGGAAGAAAGUUAGGAAUGGAAAACAUAUGUUCCUUUCUUAAACACAUAGGGAAGGAUCCUGCUCACCACACAACAAUGCAAUGAAAGUUUUUCAAGAUUGUUUGAUCAAGAUGGUCAUAUUUAGAAAUGUUUAUUCAAGUGCAAGUUCAAGUCAAAGAAUGAAAUAACCGGUUACGACUCAAGACUUCAAUUGACAACUGUUCGUUGGUUAACACUACAAGCUUGUGCUUUUAGGGGUCACGACGAAAGUAGCAAAUCAAGAAAUCAAGGUAACUUUCUUGAGUUAUUGAACUUUUAGCAUCCUACAAUGAUAAGUUGUAAAAGUUGUGUUGGAAUGCUCCACAAAAUUGGCAAGUAUACUUCACAUCAAAAUUCAAAAAGAGCUCUUGCAAACUUCUUUCUAGUAGGGUGAAAAGAGUAUUCGUGAGGAAAAUGGUGAUUCCAAAUUUUGUAUCGUUGUUGAUGAAGCUCGUGAUGAGUCAAAAAAGGAACAGAUCAAUUUAGAGAACAUAAAAAUUAAAAGAGAAAAAAAUUAAUAAACUUAAUUAAUCAACUUUAAUCCGUUUUCAAAUACCGGUAACUUCAUUAUUAGAAAUUAGCAGCAACAAUGAUUAAAUAAACAUUAUUAUAGUGUAUAACUAUAUUUGUAAAUUACAGGUGUUAUGAAUUGACUUAAUAAAUUCAUAUAGAUUAUUUUAACACAUCAAGAAAGAAGAAGAACCCUAAAAAUCUCAAAAACACAAAUCAAACCAUCACUUUAAUUUGUUACUUUUUAUAGAAGAAGAAUGAAUAAAGUUUUUUACCUGUUAGAUGCCGAUCACUUUAAUCUGUCCCGAUUCCGGUGCCGAUAGCAAACCCAUAUAAGAAAGAAAGGAAAGGUAGGAGUUUUUUACCUUAUCUGUAUUUUAACCUAACUUUGAAUGAAAAAUAAAAAAUAAAAAUUAAUUUUAAUUUAAAAUAAGGAUGUUUUAGUAAUUUAAUAUAUAUGAAUUAAAAAUAAAUAAAAAGUUGAGGGGUGGUCGUGGCCUUCCCACGUCCCCCCUCAGUUCCGCCACUUAUUUUUCAUUCAAAGUUAGGUUAAAAUACAGAUAAGGUAAAAAACUCCUACCUUUCCUUUCUUCUUAUAUGGGUUUGCUAUCGGCACGGAAUCGGGACAGAUUAAAAGUGAUCGGGCAGUCUAACAGGUAAAAAACUUUAUUCUUCUUCUUCUAUAAAAAAGUAACAAAUUAAAGUGAUGGUUUGAUUUGUGUUUUGAGACUUUUUAGGGUUCUUCUCUUUCUUGAUGUGUUAAAAUAAUCUAUAUGAAUUUAUUAAGUCAAUUCAUAACACCUGUAAUUUACAAAUAUAGUUAUAACACUAAUAAUAAGUUUAUUUAAUCAUUGUGCUGCUAAUUUAAUAAUGAAGUUACGGUAUUUGAAAACGGAUUAAAGUUGAUUAAUUAAGUUUAUUAAUUUUUUUCUCUGUUUAAUUUUUAUGUUCUCUAAAUUGAUUUUUGAUCUGAUAUGAUAUUAUAGGAAGAGUAAAUGAUGAAUAAUAGGAAAAUUGAUUCUUUUUUCAAAAGGAAAGCAUGUGAAAUUGAAAGAGAAGAGAGAGUAUGAGAGAAAUUAUAAUCCCGAAUCCGAAUCUGAAACAGUUCUUGAGAAUCCAACAAUUGAAGAGCAUCAUGGUUUUGAAAUUCUUGGAACGCGGAUCCUGGAAAAGCGUCCUCCGAUUUGGCAAUAUCCACCCAAAUCAAGUGGAUGCAAUACGAAGAGCUUAUCUGAAAAUGCGGGGUCCAUAUCAAAUUCAUUUAGAAAACUAUCCUUUGUCCGAUAACGAGGAUCAUCCGAGCAGGUUUCAACAUACUUCGUUUAGCAUAUUUCCAUCAUGGUUAGAAAUUCACCAUCUGAAGAUGCUGCAUAUUGCUUAUCAUGUUUAACUUUUUCAAGCAAAAAACUAAAGUGGACGUCCCGGAUCACUUGUCUUUAUUUCUAUGUUUUAGAAUUGGAAGAAAGUUAGGAAUGGAAAACAUUGUUCCUUUCUUAAACACAUAGGGAAGGAUCCUGCUCACCACACAACAAUGCAAUGAAAGUUUGUCAAGAUUGUUGAAUCAAGAUGGUCAUAUUAGAAAUGUUUAUUCAAGUGCAAGUUCAAGUCAAAGAAUGAAAUAACCGGUUACGACUCAAGACUUCAAUUGACAACUGUUCGUUGGUUAACACUACAAGCUUGUGCUUUUAGGGGUCACGACGAAAGUAGCAAAUCAAGAAAUCAAGGUAACUUUCUUGAGUUAUUGAAAUUUUAGCAUCCUACAAUGAUGAAGUUGUAAAAGUUGUGUUGGACAAAUGCUCCACAAAAUUGACAAGUAUACUUCACAUCAAAAUUCAAAAAGAGCUCUUGCAAAUUCUUUCUAGUAGGGUGAAAAGAGUAUUCGUGAGGAAAUUGGUGAUUCCAAAUUUUGUAUCGUUGUUGAUGAAGCUCGUGAUGAGUCAAAAAAGGAACAAAUGGCUCUUGUAUUAAGAUUUGUUGAUAAAGUGUGGUUUAAUACAGAGAGAUUUUUUGAUGUGCACAUGUAAAGACACCACGUCUUUAAACUCUUAAGGAAGCCAAUAUCGCUGAUAUACUUUCUUGACAUAAACCUUAAUAUUUCUAACAUUCGUGGCCAAGGGUAUGAUGGUGCUAGCAAUAUGAGAGGAGAAUGGAAUGGUUUACAAGCCCUCUUUAUGAAGGAUUGUCCUUAUGCAUACUAUGUUCAAUGUUUUGCUCAUAGAUUGCAACUUGCAUAGUUACAUCAUCAAGAGAAGUCAAACUGUUCUAAAUUUUUUGAGAAACUGAUAUUUGUUGUGAAUGUUGUUUGUUUCUUCUACAAAGCGUCAUGAAUGAGUUACAAACUGCCAAUUAGCAAGAAAUUGCUUAUUUGUUAGAGAUUGUGAGAUUGUAACGACUGGUAAGGUGCAAAUCAGUUGGUACAUGAAACGAGCCGGAGAUACUCGUUGGGGACCACAUUACGAUUCAAUUUCUUAGCUUGACAAACAUGUUAUGAAGCAACUUGUUUAGUUUUUUAAAAAAAAUUGCAAAAGAUAGAGGGAGUUAUGCUACACGUGGGGAUGCAGUGAUUAGUUUUUACAAUCUUGAAGGCAUUUGAUUUUAAUAUUUAAUUUUUCACUGAUGAAAGAAAUCAUGGGAAAACGAUAUGCUUUGUCAAGCCUUAACAAAAAAAAAUCAAGAUGUAAGUAAUGUUAUGAACUUGGUUCGUUCAAACAAAACAUCUUUAUUCAACGUUUGAGAGAGAAAAUGGGUUGAGGAUAUUUGUUUUACUAACCAGGUGGUACUUUUUUGUGAAAGCAUGGUAUUGAGAUCCUGAUCUUAAUGGAUGUUCAUUCACAUAUAGAUUUGGACGCUCCCGUCUUGAAGCGAAAUCAAGUCACACAAUUCAGCAAUUACUUUUAAAGUUGAAAUCUUUUUCACUACCCUAUGACAAACAGUUCACAGAGUUGAAUAGCAAGAUUCAUGUGGCAGCAAUGGAUUGUGGAACUCUUUCUUUGUUCUUUAUCUCCUAAGGAUGGAUAUAAAGCUAGUUUAGCAUUGAUGACUAUUGUUCUUUAGUUGAAAAAAUAUUAUUCCAUGGAUUUUAGUGAUCAAGAGAAUGAAUAAUUUUCAAUUUCAACUCCAACAUUUGCAUUUGGUUGCUCGUCAAGCAUCAAACUUGAAUAAUUUAUCAACAUUCAAGAACUAUGUUUCAUGUUUGCUUGCAUCUGCGAGACAGGAUGAAUUACUUCUUGAUUGAUAGAACUCUUAUCUUACUAUGACUCUUCCCGUUUCUUACGUCACAACUGAGAGGUCUUUAUUCAGCAAUUGAAAAUUACUUAAGACUAAGUGAGAACAAGAUGGAUGAUGGUUUCUUGGAGAUAGGCAUGACAGUAUAAGUAUGAAAAAAAAAAAGGGAGAUUAGUGCAAGCAUUAGUUUCAGAGUCAAUUAUUGACGAUUUUCAUAGUCCACUCAGCACACGUAAACAUUACUUUAAAGGUAGUUUUAAAGUCAUGUAAUUUAAUUUUUUAGUAAUUAACUUUGUAUAUUGUUAACUUUAAUGUUUUAUUUAAAAAUACUAUUUACAUUUUAUUUAUAAUCUUUAUUUUACGUAGUGGCCAGUCACAUUUUUUUUAUCUGGCUCCCGCCACUAAUUAUUAUAUAAAGAAAAAAGAUGUCAUUUACAGGUUAAUAUUAUUCUCAUUCUCUCACUUGACUUGAAAGAGUGAUAAUCUUGCAGGCACACCUCUCUCCUUCGUUCAGAAAGCUCAACUCACUGCAUUGAAAAUCAAAUCACUGAUCCAUCUCAAUUUUUUGUUCCCUCACGGAAAUAAAGAUGUGGUAUAUGGGAAUUGACUUUUGAUUUCUAUGCAAAUUCGGCAAGAACCAUUACAAUUCUUACGUCAAAGAUUGCAAUCUCAGAUCAUUCGGUCGUUGAGUUAUUGAUCUCGUUCCACGCAAAUCUAAAAUUCGUAACUCCUUAUUAUGGAUGAUUUCCAGUCUACUAGAUCUGCCUAGGUUUCGUCCUGCAGUGCAGAAGCAAGCAAAGAAUCCUUCAUUUCCUCUGUUCCCAAGAUUGAAUGAUCCAGUGUUUGGUAAUUCACCUUCAAAUCCAACUGACUUAAAUGUAAUUCCUCAAAAGAGUGUUUAAGGAAUAUUUCCACUCUCACCCGGAUUUUCAACUAAUUAGUCCCUUGUCUCGCUCGUACUUUCUAAUCGACCUCUACCUCAAGCUCUUGAUGGUUGCACCCGAGAUGUUCAUCGGAGCCCGAUAUGCAAGGCAAACUUAGGCAUACGAGGAACAAACUAAUAUGAUGAAUACCAUGUAAAUAUGAUGCAGGCAAAGAAUUCCCAAAUUUGACCUGAGGGGAUUAUAAAAUUGGAGAACACAUACAACUUUAUCCUCCUCAGGGAAGCACUCGUGCGUUAAGAAACAACUUCUCAGGGAAUCAUUUUGUUAGUUGUUCCAUAUCCAACUUCGGCCAGGCAUCUAUGGGUACAUGAAUAAGGUGUCACUUUUCUCUUCGGCCUCGCAGGAGCGACAAGCACCAGACUCCCCUCUCGACUCGUUAGAAGAAGCGGAAACCCGUUUAUCAAAGCUGCCUCAAUCUAACCCGUUCCGUUGGCUCCCGAUACAUAAAGAGAGAAAAAAGAUUUAAGUAGUUUCUCUAAUGGCCGGAGCGAAUGAGAAACCCUUUGCCUCUCAUUCUUGACAGUAGAAAUAUGGAACAUGCGAGUACCCUCUAAAUCCAACUGACCUACAAUGGGAACAACGGAUCCUGACGUGCAUAUCGAGCCAUUUGAUUAAUCAAUUAGAUAUUAUCGCACGUUUGAAGGACUUGUCAAGUGAAAACUUCUUUGCACUAAUCCUAACACAAUAAACACUUAGUGCCAAUGGUUACAAUGUUUCUCUGGACGGGAUUUAUAAACUCGUAGGGUGACCUUUCUGAUUGUGUAACACCUCUCAAUUUUACCGCCCAGAAGAAAACAACCAAACCAUAACUGGCUGAUACUUAGCUGGAAUUACAUAAGGUCAAGAAUAGAUAACCUUGGCCGCGAAUACAUUGUCAAGUCACCAGAGUGGAGGUAGUGUUAGAAGAUGGACGAAUACGACUUAAAGUUCUUGGCUUUAUAAGGGCUUUGUUUAAUUAUGGAUGGUAAGAUUUCAUGGGAAUUUGGGGCUAGAAUAGGCGAACAACAUGAACGGAUUGCUGAAUAGGCUCGGUCAAAAAUAAUUGGGGGGGGGGGGAGGGAAACUCCUAGGAUGGUUCAUGGUCGUGUCUCAGUAAAACCACGAGUAUGAUAAAUACACUGAGAAAUAUACUUAACCGUUGAAGAGCAUGACUGUGGAGCAGGGGGUCUCGAUCGAGAGGUUCCUCUUACAGACCCCUUUGAACACUUCCAAAGGAAAUAUUUGGUAAUGAGUGUGCCUAAGUACAACAUUUAAACCGAGCCAACAUUAAGGCUCCAUAUUUGCUUAAAGAGUCCAAUAAGGAUAAAAAAUAGAAAUACUUUUUUUCCCAAAAAGUCACGAUCAUAACACUAAUGAUGAUAUCCAGUUGAAGGACCCAUUGAAGAGUUUUGAUAAAGUAAGGGGAAGCGCUUGACCAAGUACACCCUGGGAAGGAGGAGGAAAAAAUAGGGAGGGAAUGGGAAACCUGAAACCUAAAAAACUCAACUUAAGAGGAAGCAGGCUGUCCCAGAAAAUAUCGAGAACAUCCCUGAAGAAAAGUAUUGAAGUCAUGUCCAUUGGAAAGAAGGCCAACCAAUGGGGAAAGUUUGGUACAAUGCUUAUGUAGAUUUGGUAAUUCGACGAUCGAACAAUCCUUCAAAAGGGAACUCUCAAAAGGAGGGACUAGUCGGAUGUGGCCUUCCGCACUCACAGACGCCAGCGAGCCAAACACUUGUCGCUGUUUGAGCACUCACACAGGUUUCAUACUUCGUAGUGUGGAGAAAGGACGUCUCAGACUUGAUGAUGUUUGAGGACACAAUGCAGUCUUCAUACUUGGGAGAGAAAGAAAGUCUCAGACUUGUGUAUUUGAGCAAUGGAAGUCCUCAUACUUUUAUGUGUGAGAAAGGAGUUUCAUAGUCCGUGGUCGUUGAAGCAAUAAAGUCUCAGCAUGUGUUUGAAUAAUGAAGUUAGACUUGUUGUUUAAAAGCAAGGAGCUUCUUAUACUUGUGUGUGAAGCAAAUAAGUCUCAUUGACUUUCAUGUGCUUGCAAAAAAUUUGCCAGAAUCUUAUGCCAUUAUACGUGAAAGUAUCUGUAAGUAACAAGGGGACUGAAUUCUCACGACUCGUCGAUUUAUGAGAGGAAUCAGGAUAACUUCGUGGUGUUGUUCUAUUCUUUCUUGCACUUGUAUAUCUGCUGCCUAUCUCUAAACUAACUCAAAUUUCGGUUAUAACAUUGAGUUUAGAAUAUGACUUAAGAAUUUAAAAAUAAGAAAUAACCUAACACAUUCAAUCCCCCUCCUUUAUUUUUCUCACUUCAUUUGGGCAUUCAGAGUACGGGUUGUGCUUACUCUAACAUCGCCGCGUACAUAAAGAGUCUUGAGAAAAUUAUUGAAACAUGUCUAUUAUUUAUAGACAAUCAUAUACAAGUGGUAUUUACUAUUCGCACGUGGCUAGUCUAUAAAUCUGCAUUAAGAAUAUAGAAAAGAAAAAUGAUUACAGCUAGACCUUCAACUUCAGUGGAGACUUUACAGAUUUCGAAUGGUGGAAUUUAAAGAUGUAUACUCAUAUUAUAGACCUGAUGAUGAGUUGUGGAUAUUCUUUAUAGAGGAUUGAUAUUCCAAUGAAUGACAGUUAGAGAAAAAAUAUCAAGGGAGUCGCGCAGAGAUCCCACUUAUGUGGGAAUCAUUGAGAGAGAAAUCUUGGCUGACUCUGAGAAGAUAUGCGGCUGAUAACCUCCCAUGAGAAAGUGGGAACAGUUAGACUUACGUCUAGGAGGUAAAAAUCCUCUGGGAAGGGAUCUCACAUAAAUACUGUAUCUCUAAGAGGAUAAGGGAUUUCUCACAGUAUAACAUUUACACACUCAAAGGAGACUAUGUUCAUAGUAACCUAACUACACUACGAAUCAAACCUACCCCGCACUUUCAACCCAGCAACACUCGGCCACUAAUAUGGCCCUUUACCGUCACCAAGUUUGAGUCCCUUAAACAGGCCUAAAAGCCACCCAACCAUGGGAUCUCGACGCCGUGAGUAAUCCCUCACUAACCCAAUGAUUAGAUGACAUCUUCUGCAGAUGGAACACACACACCUUGUCUUUUUUUAUCAAUACAAGUAUUAUGGGACUUGCUCUCCUUAUGUUGGCCUUUGUGAGGUAUGCAGAUUCCACGUCGUGUAGUUUCAAUCAGUUUCAAUUGCCUUCACAAUUUAUUUCAUCAUAAAAAUUGGCAUUAUAAUCACUUUCUAAAAUAUUAUAUUUUAUGUCCUCCGACUUUCUCUUGUGCAUGUAAGUCUGCUCAUUCCAGUAUCUGAUUUAAUCAGAUAUCACAUCUCUAUUGAUGUCUACUGUUUUUUGUUAAUAGAUUAUACAAUUUGUAGGGACUAUUGAAUGGUAUCAUAUGGAUAAUCAUUUUCCUACUUCUGUCUUGAUCUUGAGUCUUUUUUUGAACAUCGGAUGUGUUGAAGCAGGACGAUCCAAACACUUUUAAAAAUGCUCUUAUAGAUGGAUUUCUUGCACACUCAAACUCUCUUUGGCACUUCAUCUUCAAACUUUUUGGUGGAAAUUUAUUAAUAUAAGUUCUUGUAUUUAAUGCCUGCCUCACCCUAAAACACAUGGGUGUCGGGUUUUUGUCGCCUUUAACAUGCUGUUCUUGCCAUACAAAAAUGGUCAUGUUUCUCCUUUCUGCUAAUAGCAUUGUUACCAUCUCAUUGUGGUAGGGUUGAGGUUCAUUUAUUGCAUUAUAUUUUGCUAAUCAAUAUGCUUUCAAACUUAUUUGAAGUAUAUUCUCCACCUCCAUAUGUCCUAACAUACUUCUAAUUUCCUUUGGUUCACUCUCCUUCUCAACCAGACUUUAAUUUUUUGAAACUUAAAAUGCUUUCACUUUUUGAACUUCAAUGGUUGUAGAGCCAUAACAUUCUUGUCAGGGCUGACCCAAACAGAAUGGAGGUCAUGUUCUGAGUUUUAUAAGAGUCCGCUAAUAAAAUAAAGUCAUACACCAUCCACACAUCUACUUAAGAUUUUCUCUUUAAAAAUUAAAUAACUUUUAUUAGUAAUUGAUAAUAAUAGGAAUAGGUGUACACAAGAUAUAAAUGCAUUGGACGUGAAUUCAAAUCUGCGACAUACUCACUUAUUUAUAUUUAAAAGUGAAGUCUCAACUACCUAUACUAUUGAUAAAAAAUUAUGAUAUAUUCAAUUACUACAUUAGACUAGUGUUAUGAAUAACCAUNNNNNNNNNNNNNNNNNNNNNNNNNUGAUAGAUCAUUUUCCACAUGAAGCCGGUUAUAGUCACCUUAUUAAAAAUAAAAAUUAAUUUUAAUUUAAAAUAAGGAUGUUUUAGUAAUUUAAUAUAUAUGAAUUAAAAAUAAAUAAAAAGUUGAGGGGUGGUCGUGGCCUUCCCACGUCCCCCCUCAGUUCCGCCACUGAUAAUAAGGUGACUAUAACCGCUUCAUGUGGAAAAUGAUCUAUCAUGAUGAGGAUUGUAUGAUUGACUUAGAUGGUGUGUGAUGAAUUAAGGACCGAGAUCGUCUAUGAUAAAGAGUACGGAGGUUCUCUUUUCUAUUGUGUAAUCCUUGAUAGCGUUCGAUCUUAAACAUCCCGUAUCGGAUUUUCUAUUAUUCUAUUUUCAUGUGUUUUUUAGGGCAGUUUAUUUUAUCUAUUUAAAAAAUAAAAUUUAUUAUAUUUAAAUUUUUAAUAAUAUAUAUUUACAUUUAUAUUAUUAUAUAUUAAAUUUAUCAAUUUAUAAAAAAUAAAUCUAGAAAACAUUUUUUUAAAGAUAAACAGUAGCACUUAGUGUAAUUUUCCCAAAAAAAUUGAUUAAAAUUGAACUCCAUAGUUUUUGAGAUAUUUCCUUUUCAUAUAAAAAGUCCAUUUAAAAAAAUAUAUAAAGUGGCGGCUAAAUUGAUUGAUUGCUCCAACUUGAAACAUGAGUUGAAGCUCAAUAUACUAGUACAACUUAAAUACUAGUAUUUAUUAAAACAUUAAUUUAGAACCUUCCUCGUACCGUCCAAUGUUGACCGACCAAGAAACUUAUUCUUAAAAUAUGUGUAUUCAGAUACAUUGAAAAACGAAAAGUGCUUUAAAUAACUAACAUUUAUUAUCAUAAUUUUUUUAUAUAAUUUUUAAUUGUUGUUUGUGAAACUUGCCAUUGCCUUUACUCAAGUCAAUUUUAAAAAUAAUUUUUAUCUUAUUCUUUCUUUCAUCCAUUAUAUAGUGACAGAACCAAACAGUGUUGUAGAUACUGAACAGAGAAAGAGAGAGAUUCUGAAUUUUUAAAAAAUGGAGAAAGCAAUUGAAAGACAGAGAAUUCUUCUUGAACAUCUAAAUCCAAAUUCUUCAAAUUCUGUUUUCUCAUCCUCUCAUACUCAUCAAUCCACUGAUAUUUCUGUAAUUUUACAUGUUCUUAGCUCUUAUGAUUUCGUGUAGUUAUAUGUUGUGUUGUAUCUGUUGAUUAUAGAUUUUUUUUUUCAUUUUCAGGCUUCAUUCUGUUCUGCUGGAGAAACAGGUGGAUCUGAAAAUGAUGUGGUGAUUGUAGCGUAAGUUCUUUGAUUAUAUAUAGCAAUAUGAAUGUGAUUGAUAUUGGGACGUUUCAUAUUGAAAGCGCAUGUUAGGUGUUUGAUAUGUGUCUGUGUCAAUAACAUGAAAGAGACAAAGUAUAGUUAGAUUUAGUUGAUUCUUCUCAAAUUAGUACUAGUGUUGACGUGUGUCUGUUGUAUGUGUUUGUUGACGAAAUAUAGUUAGAUUUAGUUCAUUUCUUUCAGUUUUGUUUAGGGUUAGUAAUAAACUUUUGAGGUUAAUUUUACUGUGAUAAUGACCAGCGCAUAUCGUACGGCUAUUUGCAAAGCGAAGCGUGGGGGGUUCAAGGAUACUCUUUCGGAUGAUCUACUUGCUUCAGUUCUCAAGGUAACUUUCUUUGACUAAUCAAUUGAGAUGAAAUAUGAGUGUACUAUUCAUUGAUAAGUGAGCAAUUGCCCAAGCAUGUUGUUGAAAACGUAGACUCAAUCUUGUGUUUUUGUGUGCGUUUAUUGACCAAACUCCGUGAAAAUCUUGUGUUUUUGUGUGCGUUUAUUGACCAAACUCCGUGAAAAUCUUGUGUUUUUGUGUGCGUUUAUUGGCCAAACUCCCUGAAAAUCUUGUGUUUUUGUGUGCGUUUAUUGACCAAACUCCGUGAAAAUCUUGUGUUUUUGUGUGUGUUUAUUGACCAAACUCCAUGAAAAUCUUGUGUUUUUGUGUGUGUUUAUUGGCCAAACUCCAUGAAAAUCUUGUGUUUUUGUGUGCGUUUUAUUCGUCUGUUUUCUUUAGAACCGGAGUUUUUGUUCUAACAAUUGUUUGAUGAGAAAAAUAAUGGAAAGGAUAGUGCCAACCACCAAGUAAGAAAAACGGUUUAGCGAACAUCUAUAACAGAAUUUAUCAAUGGUGGUUGGAUCUAGCAAAAAAGAUUUAAAAAUCCUUAUGCAUCAAUAGUAUUUGUUUUCUUACGUUUUUUGGUUCUUAUUCAUGAGUUUUCUGUAGGCUGUGAUAGAGAAAACAAACGUGGAACCUAGUGAAGUAGGAGACAUAGUUGUUGGCACAGUUUUAGGACCAGGAUCCGAAAGAGCAAUUGCGUGCAGAAUGGCAGCUUUUUACGCUGGUUUCCCUGGUAAAUUUCCCAUGCUUUAUUCAAUCGUUUAUCAAUCAUUGACAACAAGUAAUUAUAAAUGAACUCGUUGAAUGAAAAUCACUAAAUGUAGAGUUCACGUAGGUGAUUUCGUUUGGUGUUCUAAAAGUUUCCAAUAUUUGAUUAUCUCUUAAUUUCAACCAGAGACUGUGCCACUUCGAACUGUCAAUAGACAAUGUUCAUCCGGACUUCAAGCAGUAGCUGAUGUUGCUGCUUACAUAAAAGCUGGGUUCUAUGACAUUGGUAAGAAACUAAAAAUGAUUCUAGACUCGAUUUAAAAGCUAAAGUCCUUGAAGUUUCUUGGCUUAAUUUUCUUCCUCUUAUUUGAUGAAGGAAUUGGAGCUGGAGUGGAGUGUAUGUCACAAGAUAAUAUUUCAAGGAUCGUCAAAACUAGCUCAAAGGUACAUCGAAGUCGCACUUUUCAAAUUCAAAAUAAAUAACUUCUUCAGAAUAUCUUAUGAAAAUAGCUUACUACUUAUCUUGACUUUUUUAUUAUUUUAACAGGCGGAAAAUUUUGCACAAGCCCGGGACUGUCUUCUUCCGAUGGGACUCACUUCUGAGAAUGUCGUGCAACGUUAUGGUGUGACAAGGCAGGAGCAAGACCAGGCUGCUGUUAGUAUGAAAUAUGUUUUAGAUAUACUAUAAGAAUUUAAGUAAAGAUUAUUCAUGUGAGUUAACUCUUUUAAUCACGUGUAAUUAGGUCGAGUCUCAUAGGCGCGCUGCAGCUGCAUCAGCUUCUGGUAAAUUCAAAGAAGAAAUCAUUCCGGUUUCUACUAAGGUAAGUUCCAACUGCCAAAAAGAGUUUCCUUUUAGCAUUUGUGAUAAUAUUAUACUGAUGAUUUUGUUUAUGAAGAUUGUGGAUCCUAAAACUGGAGAGGAGAAGCAAAUUAUUGUUUCUGUUGAUGAUGGUAUCCGCCCAAACGCCAAUUUGGCUGAUCUCGCAAAACUUAAGCCUGCAUUCAAAAAAGACGGAACCACAACUGCAGGGAAUGCUAGCCAAGUUAGCGAUGGAGCUGCAGCAGUGCUCCUCAUGAAGAGAAGCAUCGCUGUGCAAAAGGGGCUUCCUAUUCUUGGAAUCUUCAGGUACACGAUAACGAUAUAUAUUCUAUAUCAUUUUAAAACUAGCGUGCAGACGGAUAGCAUCUGUUGUCCAUCUGUUCGCUUUUUUCAGUCUCUCGUUUUUCGUACCUUAUUUUUGCUUUGAUUAGGUCAAUAUAGGCCUCAUUUAAAAACAAUGAAUUCAAUGUUGCAGGAGUUUUUCUGCAGUUGGUGUAGAUCCAUCUGUCAUGGGAGUUGGUCCAGCUUUUGCUAUUCCAGCUGCGGUGAAAGCCGCUGGUCUCGAACUUGGUAACAUUGACUUGUUCGAAAUCAAUGAGGUAAAGUUUUAGCAGUUUUCUUUAUAAUAACCAAUGACAAUAGCUUUCUAUUCUACAUUUUCUAAGCAUUUAGCAAUUUGAUCGUCUUUUGUAGGCCUUUGCAUCACAGUUUAUUUAUUCCAGCAAGAAAUUAGGACUUGAUCCAACAAAAGUCAAUGUCAAUGGUGGUGCCAUUGCUCUCGGACAUCCUUUAGGCGCCACAGGUAAAGUUGAGAUAUUCAAGCCCGUAGUCGCGUGCUUUCUGUUUUUAUUUUCACUGAUAAGAUAAACGUUCGAGAAGGUUUAUAUUAGAAAUGCACCAAGAAAUCUUAAACUCGCGACAGUUGAACAGAUUGAUUUAUUGAUCUUUCUGAUGUGGGCGCUUACAACUGGUGAAUUUUUUCUGCUUCCUUUUAUAUCAGGUGCACGCUGUGUAGCAACUUUGUUGAAUGAGAUGAAGCGUCGCGGGAAGGAUUGUCGCUAUGGUGUGAUCUCAAUGUGCAUAGGUGAUUUCUUUUUAACUUUUCACUAAAUGACAUUCUAGAAAAAGAUUAUAAAAAAAAGCAUAUAAUUCAAAUAAAAGUUGCAUUAUUGAAUUGUGCAUCAUUUCAGGUUCUGGUAUGGGAGCUGCUGCAGUAUUUGAAAGAGGAGACUUUUGAGAAUUUAUAGAAGUUUAGAAUGGUUAGAAAAAUUAUCAAUCAUUUGUUACAAGUAUAUGCUUGAUCUAUGCAACAUUUGAAGUUGUGCAAAUGAAAUAAGGAAAACAGAAAAUUAAAAUAAAAGAAUAGAGUGGAACAUCAAUUCAUCAUAAUUCACUUUUAUCUAGAUGAAGUAAUUAAGUUGCUCCAUCUGUUGCUUUUUAUGUGUCCUUUUGAGGUUUUUGUACACUGAUCAAAGAAACUUGUUGUUUUGGAUUAAAUUAUGUUUUUUUUUUAAAAUAAUUUUUUAUUUGUUUUUUUAUUUUUUUAUUUUUUUAUUUUUUUUAUGAUAUAGUUCAUUAUCUUAUUGCAUCUACUUUUCUCGAAGUAAACAUUUAAGGUUAUAAACAAAAAAUAUGUACUUCAUGUAAUUUUAAACUCUUACAAAUAAGUAGUUCUUCAUUUUGGUGAAUAUCAAACUUUUAUGAAGACUUCUUGCAUGACAAUCACAUCCUGUCAAUUAAGAAGAUGCAUCUCCAACUUAACAUUAAGAAACAAUUAAUAAGUCCAAACAAUGCCAAAUACGCCAUAAGAUUUAUUUGGUAGCUUCGUCUUUUGCCACGUACCCUGCUAGGGAAUGAUUCAGUUUGUCGUUUUUUGGUCAAAAUAAUGUUCAAACCAAACUAACUGGUUUUUAGUCAAAAUAAUGUUCAAACCAAACUAAUUGGAAUGUCAAAACAAUUUUUUUUAAUGUUUUUCAAAAAUAGAACUCACUACUAGAAAAAACACGUUUAACCUCAGACACGAAAUGCAUUUAAUCUCGACUAUAGAUGUGAGGUAAAAAAAGGCGUCAUGAAAAGUGAAAGCUUUACCUAUCGAUUUUAAAAAAAUCGAUGGGUAAGUGAAAAGGUCAUGAAUUCGAUAUUCAGGGAGGCCUUUUUGAAAUUUUGAAAUGGCGAAAACACAUGUCCCAUCGGUUUUGUAAUUUCGUCGACGGAUAUACCAUAUUUUUACUUCGGUUAUCUCAUAAAAUUGAGUGAUAAAAUAAUUUUUGAGUUUAUUAAAACUAAUAUGGAUUGCUCAUUUCACUAAACCCUAUACUGAACAUAUAACUUCUAAAAAAUGGUUAGAAAUAUAAUUCUAUGAACAAUUGCAUUAUAUUUGAAGAACAACUUACACUGUUUAUGAUUUUUAAGCAUUAUGCAACUCAUCAUUAUUCUCAUGUUGUUUUAUGGUUAAAAUCUCUCAAAUGUUUCAAGUUCUUUAUUCAACAAUUCCUUUUCUACUAACUAAUCAUUGAAAACGUAAAAUUUGAUGCUUUGAAAAAUAAAUAAAUAUGGAAGAAAGUUGAACAAAAACUAGAAGUAUUGGAGAGAUUUUAUUAAUAAAACAAUGUGAGAUGAAUGAUGAGUUGCAGAAUCUCAAGUGCCUCAGAGUAGCAUCAAAUCUCAAGUGCUUUAUGAUUUUCUGGUUGAAUUGAGUGCUCCGGCCUGGGAAGAGUCAUCAUGCAGAUGGACUCUAUCUGUGGAUGUAUCCUAUAAUCUUAAAGGAAGUUGAGUCGGAAUAGUAUUGGACGGCCCGAGUGACCUUGUCUUGUAAUAUUCUUUAUGUUUUAAUUUUCAGGCUAGCAAUAACCAAGCGAAGUACAAAGCUUUAAUUGCGGGAAUGAGGUUGGAAAAGGAGGUUGGAGUAACACACUCGUACAAACUGACUCUCAGUUAAUCGUCAGCGAGGUCAAAGGAGAGUUUUAGACGAAGGAUCCAACAUUAGUCAUAUAGUUGCAAAAAUCUAUCAAGAUGUAUUAAACGUUUGUGGAAUUUGAGGUAGACCACAUUCCUAGGGAGACGAAUGUCAGAGUCGGCCUCUUAGCUCGAUUAGCGAGCACCAAAGAUUCCAAUUUAAACAAGAAGGUAAUUCAAGAGACCCUGGAGCACCAAGUAUGGAGGUUGAGUAAUGACAUUGGAUAAUGGAAGGGGAUGAAUGGUAACUAUCAUUCGGUAUUUGACCCAGAAUGAACUACCAGAAAAAGAGAUUGAGGCUAGGCACAUUAAAAGGAUAUCUGCUAGACACCUCAUCACUAAUGAUCAAUUAUAUAAGAUGGGAAAAUCAAAUCCUAUGUUAACAUGCAUUUCAGAAGAAGAUAUUGUGAUGGUCAUGAAAGAAGUCCACGCAGGGGUAUGUGGAAGUCACAUUGGAGGAAGAGGGUUAUCGGGAAACAUACUCAGAGCAGGGUAUUAUCGACCGAGUAUGCUUCAAGAUUGUGCAUAGUUCGUAAGCCGAUGUGAGAAAUGUCAAGUGUUUUCUCCCUUCAACCACUCUUCUACAAAAAUUUUGCAUUAUGUAUUUUCACCAUGGCCGUUUUAUGAGUGGGGUCAUACAUUAUGGGCCCAUUUCCCGUUGCAGCUGGAAAACUGAAGUUCUUGAUAGUAGUUGUUGAUUACUUCACUAAAUGGGUGGAGGCAGAAGCAGUGGUGCAGAUCACAAUGGAAAGGGUACGCCGGUUCUACUAGAGAAACAUAAUAAGUCGUUUCGGCCUUCUCGGGGGCAUUUUUUCAGGCAACGACACACAAUUUUCUAAUUCGUCAGUAGUAGAGUUUUGUAAGGAUUUGAGAAUACAAAAUCGAUUUAUUUCGGUGGAGCAUCCUCAAGCAAAUGGUCAGGCAUAGGCAUCAAAUAAGAUCAUUCUAUCUGGGAUGAAAAAGAAAUUGGAUGAAGAUAAGGGGUUAUGGGUUGAGUACUUGCACGAGAUCUUAUGGUCUUAUCAUACUAAACCUCAUUUGAUUACUCAAGAAAAUCCUUUCAUGAUGGUUUAUGGAGAUGAUGCAAUGAUACUGAUAGAAAUCAAUACUCCGACUUGAAGGCGUAUUGCUUUUGAUGAGAAUUCUAACUCAUACGGUCUGGAUAAUUCUGUAGAUCUAUUGGAUGAAGUCAAAGAAACAACCCACAUAAGGGAGUUGGCAUCCAAACAAAGAAUUUCCAAGAGAUUUAAUAUCAAAUAAGGCAAAGAGGAUUUCACAAAGGAGAUUUGGUGUUGAAAAAGGUGAUCGACCCUAAGAAGAAAGGCAAGCUAGCUCCGAAUUGGGAAGGACCUUUUCAUAUCCGUCAAAAGUUGAAUAAUGAGGCUUAUAAGUUAGAAAGUUUAGAGGGUGUUGAAAUACCCAGAGCUUGGAAUGUAACCAACCUUAAUUUUUAUUUUAGCUAAACUAUGUAAUAAACAUCAUGAAUAAAAUUGUGGGAAUGCACUCUUUUCCCAUGCAAGGGAAAGGGUUUUUAAUGAGGCAACCAUAGUUAAAACAAUUGUAUCGUAGAUUUCUAAAGCAGGCAAAAAGGUCCUAGGACAUGAACCAAGAUUAAGCCCAAAGCCGGUGAGUAAUCAUCUAAAGGCCAAGAACUUUCCAUAUAAUCAGUUGAGACUGAGCUAAGUUAAUUGAAACCUCUGGCCUAACUGAAGUCCAAGUUAAUUGAAACUUCUGGCAUAAUCGGCUACGGACGAGCCAAGUUAAUUGAAAUCUCUGGCCUAACUGAAGUCCAAGUUAAUUGAAAUCUCUAACAUAAUCAGUUGUGGUCGGGUUGAGUUAAUUGAAACAUUUAUUGAAGUCCAAGUUAACUGAAACCUCUGGCAUAAUCGGGUGCGGUUGGGCUAAGUUAAAUGAAACCUCUGGCCUAACUGAAGUCUAAGUUAAUUGAAACCUCUGGCAUAAACGGUUGCGACCGGGCUAAGUUAAUUGAAGCUUAUGGCCUAACUGAAGUCCAAGUUAACUGAAACCUCUAGCAUAAUCGGCUGCAGCCGGGCUAAGUUAAUUGAAACCUAUGGCCUAAUUGAAGUCCAUGUUAAUUGAAAUAUCUGGCAUAAUCGGUUGUGGCCGAGCUAAGUUAAUUGAAGCCUAUAGCCUAACUGAAGUCCAUGUUAAUUGAAACCUCUAGCAUAAUCAACUGUGGCCAGGCUACGUUAAUUGAAUCCUCUAGCCUAACUGAAAUCCAUGUUAAUUGAAAUCUCUGACAUAAUUGGUUGCAGUCAGACUAAGUUAAUUGAAACCUCUGGCCUAACUGAAGUCCAAGUUAAUAGAAACCUCUGACAAAAUUGGGUUUGACUGAAUUAUAAAGAGAAAUCCUUGGUCGGGAUAUGCUUAUCAUGGUUGGGGUCUUUGGUUUGUUAAUUAACCAGGGUUUUAUAAGUGCUCAAAGUUAUAUUAUCAUUUUGACCAUGCCUCAUAGAGGUACCCAAGUGGUCUAUCAAAUUAGAAAUAUCUGAAUUGACUUACCAUAGCCUUGCCACUAGUUGGUGAGUGGGGUUGAUUGAACCACUUAUGUUUAAAAAUUUAUUUUUAGCACUUAAGGCUUCUAUAAGGAACCACUUCAGAAAACCAAUUAUAAAUACAAAUUAUGAAAAGAAGACAACCAGUAACAUGGAACCAGAUACGAGAAUGUCAUAGAUGUUACAGAUCACAUCAGGAUCCGAAUACAAAACAAAAAGGAAAAGCGGACAACAUUCUUUAAACAUUACAAAAUGCAUCCUAAUGGAUGACUAACAAAAAAUGGAAUAGAAACAAGAUUAUUCUUCAUUCUUAUCCUCAUCAACAACUCAUAGGUUCGUGUCAUCAACACAGUCUUCCUUGGUUAGAUCAUUAGCGAGAGAAAGCUCAGUUUCUUCCAUACCCACGAGGCAACCAUCCACCAUAACUUUAAAAAGGCCCAUCUCGAACAAAUCAUGCUCGGAUGGAUGCACAUGACUUAAGCCUUUGCAAUGUCAAAAGCAUCAUCGCCUACAUCAAGAACGUCAAUUUCAGAUUUCUACAAGGCUUUCUGCAGUUGGUCAUUUUAUUCCCGAGUUAGUUUCAUCUCGAAUUUCUUAGUGACAGUGGACUAAAAUUCUUGACUCUUAGCCCCGACUUUUCCAUCUUUAUCUUCUCCUUCAACAAUUGUUUCUCCAGGCCAAAUAAUUUAUCCGCCUGCAUCUUCUGUUGUUUCUUCAGCUGAUUGAUCUCUUGGUUGAGUUUGAUCUUACUCUCUCAUAAUUCUCCCUGGAUUCAAACAGGCAUCAAAUCAGGACAACACAUCUCAUUAGAUAUGAGUUGAUGUUUUUGGUAAGUUUUUGCCAGCCUAUUAUCUUCACCUUGUUCACAUCUUCCAUGGCCUUCAUAUGGUCGUAGAGGAAUUUCAAUAUGUCAAACAUGUUACCCUAGAAUUUAAACUCAUUCUUAAUCCUCCUUUGCUAUAAUCCAAAAUUACUCAUCCCGUUGAAAUCACCUCAAAUUUCACUUCAGGAUUAAUUCUCAUCUGAUACCAAUUGUUAGAACAACAACCAAUAUAAAAGAUUAAAAAACCGAAAGUAAAAAUAAUGAAUAUUAUUGUUCUUUGUUAACAUAGUUUAGUCAAUAGUGCAUAUCAUUACUACUAGGACAUCUAUAGUAUAGUUUUGUUUUACUUUUAUAAUAAUUAAGAUUAAUAUUGCAAAUAAUAUAUAUAUAUAUAUGAGAUUAAUCGCUAUGCACUGUCAGUGUAAAAAGAUUUACACGGUCAAUUCAUCACCAUCAUCCGUUUGCAUUACUUUAUAGGUUUUUAAAAUAAAAGUCAAACUUAUUUCAAUAUCCAACGUCUAAGAUUAACUGACGAUGUAAAAUCCUUUUACACUGUUAGUGUAUUUCAAUUAUAUAUAAUACUACGACUAAAUUAGAAAAAUCCAAACAAAACUAUGUGCUUAUUCAAUUAUGAAUUUAAACUAAUCAAUAUCAACCAAUAAAAUCGACACUAAAUUCAAUUAGGAAGAUCCAAAUAAGGCUAUGUGCACAUCCUUUUCAUCAUCAAAGCCACAAAUAAUAAUAAAAUAGUUGAACUACUAAAUGCUUAUGUUGAACUAUAAUCACAUUCUUCUAAUUCAAGUAAUUCAUGAUAAACAUAUUCUAAAAACACUCAAAGACAGGUGCUUGUGUUAUUAAUAAACCAAACACUACAUUCUUAUUGUGAGUACUCGUGGAGCAAGCAGUCAUAUGAUCUGAAGCUUCAUCCUCCUUGUUCAAGUCAAGUACAUCACAUCAAGACACACACUAAUUUAACAAUUUCACGUUGAAAAGUGGAAGUAAUGAAAACAAAUAGAUACAAACUUUGAAUUUUUUUAAAAAUAAAAAUAAUUAGCGCAAGUUAAAAUUAUUAUCAAUUAAAAUAACAUUAAAAAUAUUAAAACAUUAAACUUUUACUUUAACAAAAUUAUUCAUAAAAAAAUAAAAAUAAAUUAAAAAUUAAACUAUCUCAACCUUACAAAAAAAAUUUAAGACUGAUAUUUAUCAAUUUAAAAAUGAUUUUGUAAUAAUGAAUUAAAUCGAUAUUUAAUUUUAAGAUGAUAUUAGAAUCUAUUAAUUCACACAACUCACAAUUUAUGUAUGCGCAAUAAUUAGACACCUCCAUUUUAAAAAUAAAGUUUAUAUAAACCAUUGUCGUUGACUUUCAACUUAGUGACAUCGAGUUAUUUUUUUAUCAAUUGAACUCAAAUUUGUCGAUGAUCCAAUUCUAAUUCUUCUAUCUUCCUUUUUAAUAUAUGUUUAAAAAAAUGUAUUUUAUAUUCUUUAUUAAAACUUUACUUGUCAAAAAAGUAUAAAAUAUUGGCAUCCCUAUGCUGGUAGGGGUGGCUAGAGGCCUUAGUAAUGUUAUGUGGGUUAGGACUUAUCCACGGUGGUGAAAGACCCUGUUUGAUG